This is a long non-coding RNA of Lonchura striata (white-rumped munia), 1549 nucleotides long. The record is from Ensembl. Lineage: Eukaryota; Metazoa; Chordata; Aves; Passeriformes; Estrildidae.
CUCCUCCUCCCCUUCUUCUUCCUCCUCCUCUCCCUCUCCUGCUCCUUCUCCUCUUCCUCCUUCUCCAUCUCCCUCUUCUCCUCCUUCCAUCCUCCUUCCCCUCCUCCUCCUCUUCCUCCUUCUCCUUCCCCUUCUCCCAUUCCUCCUCCUUCUCCCUCUCCUUCUACUUCUCCUUCUCCUUUCCCUCCUCCUCCUUCUCCUUUCCCUCCUCCUCCUCUUCCCUCUCCCUCUCCUCCUCCUUUCAUCCUCCUUCCCCUCCUCCUCUUCUUCCUUCUCCUUCUCCUUGCCUUUCCCCUUCUUCUCCUUCCCCUCCUCCUCUUCCUCCUCCUUCUUCUUCCCCUUCCCCUUCUCCUCCUCUUCCUCUCCUUCUAUUUCUCCUCCUCCUCUUCCUCCUCCUUCUCCUUCUUCCUCUCCUUCUACUUCUCCUUCUCCUUCCCCUCCUCUUCCUUCUCCUUCUUCCCUUCCUUUCCUCCUCUUCCUCCUCCUUCUCCUUCUUCUUCCACUUCUCCUUCUUCCUCUCCUAUUUCUCCUUCUUCUCUUCCUUCUCCUCCUCCUUCUUCUCCUCCUCCUCUUCUUCUCUUCUUCCUUCUCCUUCUUCUUUCUCUACCCCUUUGCCUCCUUCCCCUUCUCCUUCUUCCUUUUAUUCUAUUUUUCCUCCUCCUCCUCUUCCUCCUCCUUCUUCCCCUUCUCCUCCUUCUCCUUCUUCCUCUUCUUCUAUUUCUCCUCCUCCUCUUCCUUCUCCUUUUUCUCCUUCCCCUCCUCCUCUUCCUCCUCCUUCUCCUUCUUCCUCUCCUUCUAUUUCUCCUCCUCCUCUUCUUCUUUCUCCUUCUUCCCUUCCUUUCCUCCUCCUCCUCCUCCCUCUCCUCCUCCUCUUCUUCUUUCUCCUUCUUCCCUUCCUUUCCUCCUCCUCCUCCUCCCUCUCCUCCUCCUCCUCCUCCUCCCCUGGCCUCCCCAGCACCCGCGGCGCGCCCGGGGCCGCCGGGCGCAGACAAAGACGUUGUUUAGCAGCUUGUCAGAGCUGUAAAUUGGCCGAGCAGCGGAGCCGUUUGCAUUCUCCACGGGGCUUGAGCUGAGAAUUAAACAGCGGCAUCCAGUGCUGCUGCUGCCUGAUGGAGCAAAUCAAUUCUCCCCCCUCCUCCUCCUCCUCCUCCUCCUCCUCCUCCUCCUCCUCCUCGUCCUCCUCGCGGCCCGCAUUCAGGAGGGCAGGAUUUGCCAGGCAGUCCUUGAGGGCCGGCGCAAAAAGGCAGAGAGAGAUCAGGGCAAUUAACCUGCGAGGCCCCUGGAGAGCGAGAGAGGAGGAGAUCGAGGGGGGAACCUCGGGCUGCGAGCGCUCCGUCUGUCCGCGCGCUGCUUUAAUUGAUCCGCGAGUCAAUCGCGGCAGCGGCGGCUUCUCCCGGGCUGCGCCGAGCUCGCCUCAAAGCAAACACGGGCAGGGACAGCGGGGACAGCGGGGACAGCGGGGACAGGCAGGCUGCCACCCCCAGCAGGUGCCCCUGGGCUGUUUGGGAGCGGAGAAAUUGGGGGAGCGGAUCCUGCCCGGGCUGGGGAG